This 406-nucleotide ribosomal RNA is filed under the name uncultured bacterium. RNAcentral's name for it is "partial 16S ribosomal RNA". It matches the Rfam family "Bacterial small subunit ribosomal RNA", at positions 29 to 526 of the family's 1533-position model. The record is from RNAcentral.
AUUGAACGCUGGCGGCAGGCCUAACACAUGCAAGUCGAACGAGUGGCGGACGGGUGAGUAAUGUCUGGGAAACUGCCCGAUGGAGGGGGAUAACUACUGGAAACGGUAGCUAAUACCGCAUACCUUCGGAUGGGCCCAGAGGGGAUUAGUUAGUGGGUGGGGUAACGGCUCACCUGGGCGACGAUCCCGAGCCGGUCUGAGAGGAUGACGAGCCACCCUGGAACUGAGACACGGUCCGGACUCCUACGGGAGGCAGCGGUGGGGAUUAUUGCACAAUGGGCGCAAGCCUGAUGCAGCCAUGCCGGGUGUAUGAAGAAGGCCUUGGGGUUGUAAAGUACUUUCAGCGAGGAGGCGUUACUCGCAGAAGAAGCACCGGCUAACUCCGUGCCAGCCGCCGCGGUAAUUC